Molecule: ribosomal RNA, 324 nt
Filed under: uncultured soil bacterium
Lineage: Bacteria
Description: bacterial SSU rRNA
Rfam family: Bacterial small subunit ribosomal RNA
Source: RNAcentral
AGAUUGAACGCUGGCGGCAGGCCUAACACAUGCAAGUCGAGCGGUAGAGAGGUGCUUGCACCUCUUGAGAGCGGCGGACGGGUGAGUAAUGCCUAGGAAUCUGCCUAGUGGUGGGGGGGAUAACGUUCGGAAACGGACGCUAAUACCGCAUACGUCCUACGGGAGAAAGCGGGGGACCUUCGGGCCUCGCGCCAUUAGAUGAGCCUAGGUCGGAUUAGCUAGUUGGUGAGGUAAUGGCUCACCGAGGCGACGAUCCGUAACUGGUCUGGAGAGGAUGAUCAGUCACACUGGAACGGAGACACGGUCCAGACUCCUACGGGACGG